CGGAGUCACACAGCUCCGUCCCUCCAUUUGAGCGCGGCAACCAACAGCGCAUGAAUGAGAUUGAGCCAGGAUGCCACGCAAGUUCAUUCCCAAGAACCUCCGGGAGACAGACCGGACCAACCUCGAACUGGCAUUCAACUACAGGAUUGAGCACAACACCAGCAUACGGAGGGCAGCUCGGGAGUUUGGUGUCAAGGUUAUGACUCUGCAGGAUGCCUUCACAAGGAGCAAAGCCAAAUCUGAUGGGCACACCUUUGUAAUUCCCCAAGAAAAUUUUAACAAGAUUUUCAACAAGAAUCAGGAGGAAAUGCUGUGCAAAUAUGCCAUACAUGUGGCAAGACUGUUCUAUGGGAUGACUCGCAAGGAAUUUCGCCGACUUGCAUAUGAGUAUGCUGUGGCUUGCAAGUGCUCCAAUAUCCCUGCAAACUGGCAUGCCACACAACUGGCAAACGAAAAUUGGCUCCAGCGUUUCAUCAGGUUUCCCUACUCUCUUCUUUCAUAUAAUAUCAAGUAGGCAUUUUUGUUUGUUUUAAGCCUUGUAAGCUUUUUAAGGCAAAGAAGAUAAUGUAACCAUAUUUUUUCUCAACUUUUUGUGUAAUAAAGGAAGAUUAAAAUUAA
Eriocheir sinensis (Chinese mitten crab) is the source of this 618-nucleotide long non-coding RNA. RefSeq lists it as uncharacterized. The record is from RefSeq and is a predicted model, not a curated record. The transcript has 2 exons. NCBI's taxonomy places the organism in Eukaryota, Metazoa, Arthropoda, Malacostraca, Decapoda, Varunidae.